UACAGAGGGUGCGAGCGUUAAUCGGAGUUACUGGGCGUAAAGGGCGCGUAGGCGGUGCAAUGUGAGUGAUGUGAAAGCCCUGGGCUUAACCUAGGAAGCGCAUCGCAGACUAUUGUACUGGAGUAGAUGAGAGGGUGAUGGAAUUUCCGGUGUAGCGGUGAAAUGCGUAGAGAUCGGAAGGAACGUCGAUGGCGAAGGCAGUCACCUGGCAUCAUACUGACGCUGAAGCGCGAAAGCGUGGGGAUCGAACAGG
RNAcentral lists this ribosomal RNA (253 nucleotides) under uncultured bacterium. Its description in RNAcentral is "partial 16S ribosomal RNA". It matches the Rfam family "Bacterial small subunit ribosomal RNA", at positions 524 to 776 of the family's 1533-position model. The record is from RNAcentral.